Molecule: ribosomal RNA, 926 nt
Filed under: uncultured archaeon
Lineage: Archaea
Description: bacterial SSU rRNA
Rfam family: Archaeal small subunit ribosomal RNA
Source: RNAcentral
CAGCAGCCGCGGUAAUACCAGCUCCCCGAGUGGUUGGGGUGAUUAUUGGGUCUAAAGCAUCCGUAGCCGGUCAGAUGAGUUCUCCGUUAAAUUCAAUGACCUAAUCAUUGAGCUGCGGGGAAUACUAUUUGACUUGGGGGCGGGGGAGGUUAGUGGUAUUUCUGGGGUAGGGGCGAAAUCCUAUAAUCCCAGGAAGACCACCAGUGGCGAAGGCGACUAACUAAACCGCGCUCGACGGUGAGGGGUGAAAGCUAGGGGAGCGAACGGGAUUAGAUACCCCGGUAGUCCUAGCUGUAAACAAUGCAGGCUAGGUGUUGGAAUUGCUUUUUGCAAUUUCAGUGCCGCAGGGAAGCCGUUAAGCCUGCCACCUGGGAAGUACGGUCGCAAGGCUGAAUUCUUGAGAAUAUUAGAAAUUGAUUAUUUUCAAGACAGUUUACUUAAAGGAAUUGGCGGGGGAGCACCACAAGGGGUGAAGCCUGCGGUUUAAUUGGAGUCAACCCCGGAAAACUUACCAGGGGCGACAGUUGAAUGAAGGCCAGAUUAAAGGUCUUGCUAGACUAUCUGAGAGGAGGUGCAUGGCCGUCGACAGUUCGUGCCGUGAGGUGUUCUCUUAAGUGAGACAACGAACGAGACCCGUGCCUCUAUUUGCCAGCGAAUCAAUUUAAUGAUACGGGCACACUAGAGGGACCGCCUUCGCUAAGAAGGAGGAAGGAACGGGCAACGGCAGGUCAGUAUGCCCCGAAUCCCCUGGGCUACACGCGGGCUGCAAUGGCUGAUACAGUGGGCUCCGACCCCGAAAGGGGAAGGUAAUCUCUAAAAUCAGUCUCAGUCUGGAUCGAGGGCUGAAACUCGCCCUCGUGAAAAUGGAAUCCCUAGUAACCGCGUGUCAACAUCGCGCGGUGAAUACGUCCCUGCCCCUUGCACAC